RNAcentral lists this ribosomal RNA (241 nucleotides) under uncultured bacterium. RNAcentral's name for it is "partial 16S ribosomal RNA". It matches the Rfam family "Bacterial small subunit ribosomal RNA", at positions 524 to 762 of the family's 1533-position model. The record is from RNAcentral.
UACGUAGGGUCCCAAGCGUUAUCCGGAAUCACUGGGCGUAAAGCGUGCGUAGGCGGGUGUUUAAGUGAGAUGCGAAAUCUUGUGGCUCAACCAUAUAGACUGUAUCUCAUACUGGACACCUUGAGGAUGGCAGAGGCUAGUGGAAUUACCGGUGUAGCAGUGAAAUGCGUAGAGAUCGGUAGGAACACCAAUGGCGAAGGCAGCUAGCUGGGCCAUUUCUGACGCUAAGGCACGAAAGCGU